Homo sapiens (human) is the source of this 2569-nucleotide long non-coding RNA. Ensembl annotates it as PPP1R9A antisense RNA 1. Its record names the gene PPP1R9A-AS1. The record is from Ensembl. Lineage: Eukaryota; Metazoa; Chordata; Mammalia; Primates; Hominidae.
AGUCCUGCCAACAGCUGUGAGUGAGCAUGGACGCAGAUCCUCUCCCAGUGGAGCAUUUGGAUGACCACGGCUCUGGCUAACACCUCACUUACAGCCUUGGGAGAGAUUCUGAGUCAGAGGCAUCCAGCUAAAUUGACCCACAGACACGGUAAAUCAGGGAUUUCUUCUUGGUUUGGAUCCACUGUUGAUUUUAGGUUACAAAAAGAUGGCAGAUUGCAUCUUGGGCACUCUCUUGUAUGACUUUUUGGAGAAGCCAGUUUUCAUGUUGUGAGAGGCCUGGCAGAGGGGCCCAAAUGAGUUCGCUGGGAAGCGGAUCACAGAAACCAUGAGGCCUAUAAAAGCCCCAGGCUCAGCCAGAGCAGAGCAGAUGAUGGAUGACCAGCUGCAGAGAAGAGCUACCCUUUCUGCUGACAGCAGAAGAUGUCCCAACAACCAGCAGAAGAGAGAAGCUAUCCAUUCUAGGGCCUCUUCUCUGCUGAGAGCUUCAGAAACCUGCAGAGACAUCGAGACUACCAGCUGCAGAGUGGAACAAUCCACUCCAGGGCCACCUCUCUGCUGAGAGCUAAGAAGACAAUGAGAUGACCUGCCUGCUAGGAGGAGCUUCCCUCUCCAGGGUCUCCUUUCUGCUAGGAGCUGAACUCUCAUUGGAACAUCCUGGCUGUGGAAAGGAGCUACCCUCUGCAGGUCUCCUGUGUGCUGUUCUAUUGAUCAAUAAAGCUCCCCUUCAUCUCGCUCAUCCUCCACUUGGCUCUGUACCUCAUGCUUCCUAGUUGCAGGACAAGAACUCGGGACCUACCAAAUGGCAGAGCUAAAAGAGCUAUAACACAGGACUGAAACAUGCCCCCUGCUUGCCACAUUGAGGGCAAAGAGAAGGAGAUAAGAUCUGUGCCUUCUCAGGCAGCCCAGACCUGGGAGCUCCCUGAGCCAGGGCUGUGACUCCCUCUUUGGGGUCCUGUGGUGCCUAGUAUCUCCAAGCUUCCAGGUGCCACUGCAUUUCCCGGUGCCAGCUGGGGAAGCUUCCUGCAGUGCACCUGGUCUGGCCACAGCCUCACAGAGAGUCAGUGCCUGUGCCAGCACCUGUAACUGCCCGCCCCAUUGCAGCAGCCGGCAUGUCCGAUUGCACACUGGCUGAACCCCAUGCUCCCUCACACACCCCUUGCCACUCCAUGCCUGACUUACCCUUGGCAGGUAUGGGAUCCAGGCCAGUAGUGUCAGCCAAGUAAAGCCUGCCAGGCCAGGUAGGCAGAACAAACCCAGCGGGCCUAAGCAAGACUUGGGCAAAGACAUCACCAGCCAGAAAAACAAUAUCCCAAGAAUCUUGUGACACUAGGCAUAGUGAAGUUCUUUAUUAAUUUGUAGAUUUUUAACCUGGAAAAUUCUAAUAUUUUCAACUAUUAAAAAAGAUAAUCCCCAAAAUAAUGCUUUAUUGUCAUGUAAAAUAUUAAAUAGAUUGUAUGUAACUUAGCUAUAUUAUUCUAAGAUAAAAUUCAUUAACUUGUCUUUAAGAAACUAGUUCCUAAAAUGCACUUUGAACUGUAUUUAUAAUCUCACUAGUCCUCUACUUAAUUAGGAAGUGGAAUAAAAUAUUUGAUAUAUUUUCUUUUUAUAUUUACAAAAGUCACCAUUUAAAUUCUUUGAAUUUUAACAUGUUAUACUUUUGGAGGAUCCACUGAGACACUAAAGUGGGUUCAUAAAGCCAACCAAACUGUGAUAGCACAGAAAUGUACUUCAGGAGCUGUUUAGGAGGAGAGACUUUUCUUUCUCCUCAAAGUGAUUCUCAAAUAGCAAUAGAGUCCUGGUGCAGUGGCUCAUGCCUACAAUCGAGCACUUUGGGAGGCCAAGGUGGGAGAAUUGUUUGAGCCCAGGAGUUCAAGAUCAGCAUAGGCAACAUAGCGAGACCUCAUCUCUACAAAAAAUACAGAAAUUAGCCAGGUGUGCCGGCAUGUGCUGUGUUUUUUGUCCAGCUACUUGGGAGGCUGAAGUGGAGGGAUUUCUUGAAACUGGGAGGUCAAGACUGAAGUAAGCCAUGAUCCUGCCACUAUACUCCUACAUGGGGGAAAGAGCAAGACUCUGUCUCAAAAAAAAAAAAAAAAAAAGAAAAAAAGAAAAAAAAGGCAAUAGAACUGUACCUUUGCUGUGAUGCUAGUCUACUACAAGUUGGCUUUUUUCUUUAAAUUUUGAAUUUUUCAUUUUCUUUUCUAGUUCUUCACCAUUUUGGUUCUGGAUAUAGUUUCCACUAGAAGAUGAUAAUGAUGAUAAUGAUAAUCCCCAUGCAUGCAUUAAUAAUUGGGAAUGUAAUUUUAUAAUCUGAACUUUAAAGACCUCUGUUAAGAUUAAAGGGAUUUCUUGUCCUUCAUAUGAGACAUGACAAGGAAUGAGAGUUGCAUUUUUUAAAUUCUUUGUUUCUCUAUUUGUGUAUCCAAAUAAUUUCAUAAAACAUUUUAUAACUACUAGAAGGGAAAAUAAUCCUUUGAAAUCUUGAACAGUGUAUUUUGGUGUUUCCUUGAUUACUUAAUCUGUUGCAGAGAUUGUUAUAAUUAAAGCUACAAUUUUCUCUGUGUUGCUAUAA